Molecule: ribosomal RNA, 732 nt
Filed under: Salmonella enterica
Lineage: Bacteria; Pseudomonadati; Pseudomonadota; Gammaproteobacteria; Enterobacterales; Enterobacteriaceae
Description: partial 23S ribosomal RNA
Source: RNAcentral
CGAUGAGUAGGGCGGGACACGUGGUAUCCUGUCUGAAUAUGGGGGGACCAUCCUCCAAGGCUAAAUACUCCUGACUGACCGAUAGUGAACCAGUACCGUGAGGGAAAGGCGAAAAGAACCCCGGCGAGGGGAGUGAAAAAGAACCUGAAACCGUGUACGUACAAGCAGUGGGAGCACAGGUUUACCUGUGUGACUGCGUACCUUUUGUAUAAUGGGUCAGCGACUUAUAUUCUGUAGCAAGGUUAACCGMAUAGGGGAGCCGGAGGGAAACCGAGUCUUAAUUGGGCGUUAAGUUGCAGGGUAUAGACCCGAAACCCGGUGAUCUAGCCAUGGGCAGGUUGAAGGUUGGGUAACACUAACUGGAGGACCGAACCGACUAAUGUUGAAAAAUUAGCGGAUGACCUGUGGCUGGGGGUGAAAGGCCAAUCAAACCGGGAGAUAGCUGGUUCUCCCCGAAAGCUAUUUAGGUAGCGCCUCGUGAAUUCAUCUCCGGGGGUAGAGCACUGUUUCGGCYAGGGGGCCAUCCCGGCUUACCAACCCGAUGCAAACUGCGAAUACCGGAGAAUGUUAUCACGGGAGACACACGGCGGGUGCUAACGUCCGUCGUGAAGAGGGAAACAACCCAGACCGCCAGCUAAGGUCCCAAAGUCAUGGUUAAGUGGGAAACGAUGUGGGAAGGCCCAGACAGCCAGGAUGUUGGCUUAGAAGCAGCCAUCAUUUAAAGAAAGCGUA